CAGAGGGUGCGAGCGUUGUUCGGAAUUAUUGGGCGUAAAGCGCGUGUAGGCGGCUUAGUAAGUUGGGUGUGAAAGCCCUCGGCUUAACCGAGGAAGUGCGCCCAAAAACUGCUUGGCUUGAGUACCGGAGAGGGUGGCGGAAUUCCCGGUGUAGAGGUGAAAUUCGUAGAUAUCGGGAGGAACACCAGCGGCGAAGGCGGCCACCUGGACGGAUACUGACGCUGAGACGCGAAAGCGUGGGGAGCAAACAGGAUUAGAUACCCUGGUAGUCCACGCUGUAAACGAUGAGCGCUAGGUGUUGCGGGUGUUGACCCCUGCAGUGCCGCAGCUAACGCAUUAAGCGCUCCGCCUGGGAAGUACGGCCGCAAGGCUA
RNAcentral lists this ribosomal RNA (373 nucleotides) under uncultured organism. Its description in RNAcentral is "bacterial SSU rRNA". It matches the Rfam family "Bacterial small subunit ribosomal RNA", at positions 526 to 896 of the family's 1533-position model. The record is from RNAcentral.